GGGUUGUAAAGUACUUUCAGCGGGGAGGAAGGUGUUAAGAUUAAUACACUUAGCAAUUGACGUUACCCGCAGAAGAAGCACCGGCUAACUCCGUGCCAGCA
This 101-nucleotide ribosomal RNA is filed under the name Proteus vulgaris. RNAcentral's name for it is "partial 16S ribosomal RNA". Lineage: Bacteria; Pseudomonadati; Pseudomonadota; Gammaproteobacteria; Enterobacterales; Morganellaceae. The record is from RNAcentral.